Molecule: RNA transcript, 2798 nt
Organism: Mauremys mutica (yellowpond turtle)
Lineage: Eukaryota; Metazoa; Chordata; Testudines; Geoemydidae
Gene: C11H15orf61
Gene name: chromosome 11 C15orf61 homolog
Exons: 4
Source: RefSeq, a predicted model, not a curated record
GGGCCCGGCGGGCGAGUGUCGGGGGCGCGCGGGCCGGGCGCUGAGGGGGUCUCCGCCUGUAGCAUGCUGCUCCUGCGGCAGCUGCACGAGGCGGCCCUGAGGCGGCUGCUCGCGCCCGCCGGGGGCGCCGCCGCCAAGCCCAAGGCCUCCGAGGUGCUGAGCCGCCACCUGCGGCAGCGGGGCCUGCCCCACUGGACCUCGUACUGCGUGAAGUACAGCGCCGUGCGCAACGACCAGUUCGGCCUCUCGCACUUCAACUGGCAGGUGGACGGCGCCAACUACCACGUCCUGCGCACGGGCUGCUUCCCCUUCAUCAAGUACCACUGCUCGCGGGCCCCGCGCCGCGACCUGGCGCUGCAGAACGCCGCCUUCACCGCCCUCAAGCUCCUCAACGCGGGCAUCCCGACUUUAUUAUAUGGAAUUGGCUCCUGGUUUCUUGUUAGUGUCACAGAGACUGUUCACACAAGUUGUGGCCCAGUUACUAUUUAUUUUCUGAAUAAAGAAGAUGAAGGUGCCAUGUACUGAAAUUGUGCAUUCAAGCACUCAUUUGGGAUCGCCUAACCCUUUUUAACCUGGAUUUGCCAGAAAAAUUUCAAAUUGGAAAUAAGGCAUACAUUUGUAACCACAGGAACAAACUACUGAGAGAAGUGGUGGAGUCUCCAUCUCUUGAUGUCCUCAAACCAAGACAGGAUGCCUUUCUGGAAGAUAUGCUUUAGCUAAAUGCAGGAUCUGCUUUAGGCACACAUGAGUUAUGGGGCUCAAUUCAGUGGUAAAUGGGUGAAAUUUAACAGCCUGUGGCAUUACAGGAGGUCACACGAAAUGAUCUAGUGGUCCCUUCUGGCCUUAAGCUAUAUGAAAUGAAAAACUUGAAGAUAAAAUAAAAAUAAAUAAAUUAAAACUAAUGAUGACAAGCCCACAGAGAGUUAGUGGCAACACCACAAUUAGAAAUCAGUAGUCCCUAGCUCCAGCCAGUCACUUGCUUAGUUCUCUAGGCCAUGCUGCCUCUAAAUAUGAAAAAGAGCAAGCCAUUUAAAAGACUAAAUUUAACAAAACCCACAUGCAGCUAUACUGUAUCCCCUGGCUUACUUAGAUUUCUUGCUUGUGGACCUAUGUCUUGAACCAACUUGGCUUCAUUCUCCUUGGGUUCCUACAUUAUUUUACUUGGCCAUGUAGGGUAAAUUGUUUACUGUAACAUGCCUUAAUCUUCCUCUAUAAUCUUGCUAGCUAUAGAAACAUAAGAUAAUAGAACUCAAUCUAAAAUCAGUGCAUUUCUCAAACCAUACAUUUGUACAGAAGUACUUAGCUGUACACACCUUUUGGGCAUUAUCAUUCAAUUUAAAUCAACUUGAUAACUACAGCAAAGUGGACUUUGAGAGACAGUAAUGGCAUCUUAAUGUAGGGAUUAAAAAAAAUUCCUUUAAAUAAAACCUGUAAUACGUGUACAGUACAACCUCACUAAUUUUCAUUAAUGAUUAGGAUACUCAUUGCAAAUUUGACCCUUGUGAAUUAGUAUGUUGAAAAAAUGCAGCUUAAAUAAGUUAGGAUAAUGCAUCAUAAAAUGUACAUUGCUCCUUAGACAAGUGUUGUUUAGUCUUAAUUAUUUAUGCUAAUACUAGUCAAUGCACUGUGGUAUAGUUUAUAAAAUAUUAAGUCUUUGUAUAGCAAAUAGCUAUUAAACGUCUGCUGAGAAGUUGGGUAAAACCCAUGAUUUUUGUACAUGUUCAAAUUAUAAACCAUGCAGAUACGCAAAGUCUGAAUGAGGAAAUUGUUGCAUGGAACACAAAUGUGUAUCUAUUCAGCAUUUAAAAAUGUGAAGAAGCUAUUAAGAUUUUGAAAUGAUGGAAUACUUUGCAUUGUAAAGUCAGCCAGUUUGGAAUCAUUAUUUGUUUGGUAAGGUAGAAUAUGUAUGGCUAAGAGUUAUUUUUAAAAUGAUUGCAUCACUUUAAGCACAGUUUAUGAGCACUGUACUAGUUCAUUAUAAAACCCAGUUUAUUACUUUCAGUGAUAUUAAUAAUCCCAAUAGAAUCAAUCUAUAAAACAUGAUGCAAAGCGGUUCUUUACACAAGUAGUCUGAUCAGGGAACUCUUUCAAUUUUAAAAUGCAAAUUUAAAAACACAACACUUCCUAAAGAACUCUUUAAAUUGACUUUAUAACAUAUAUAAUUUUAUCCAAAAAAACUCAAUGUGUUGUAGUUAAUCCAAAUAUAUAAAUCUAUUGGAAUUAUUUUUAUAAUAAGCAAUGCCAUUUGAUAUGAUCUGUAUAUGCUUAGUGAUUCAUGGGUCUUGUUACAUACAUGCUUUGUAAUGUAUGAAUUAUUUAGUAAGAAAAAUCACAAUGAUUUUGUUGUUACUCAAAAAUUUAUAGGUUGGCAGAAACAAUUAUGCAGCCCCUGAAGCUGGUCUGGUAAGUUUUUAAAACUUAACAGAAGAUGAAUCAUCAUUGAAACGUGCACAGGGACUUCAGGUAAAAGAUUCAUUUUAACAUAAAUGAAGUUCAUGUGGGAAAUAGCAGUUCCUGAGAUAUUCCUGACAUGGGACUAUAUUAAAUUUCUACUGUAGCAGUUAAAUUAUAAAGUUAUUGAACAGAGAGAGAACUUAUCUCUGCUAAUGGCCAAAGAUGAUUUUUUUUCAGAAAGCCCAGACAACAUCAAAUCCUAAUAACAGGGAGCUGGAGUAUGGUGACCAGAUGUCCUGAUUUUAUAGGGACCAUCCCGAUAUUCAGGGAUUUGCUUUAUAAAGGUACCUAUUACCUCCCACCCCCAUUCCAAUUUUUCACACUUGCUAUCUGGUUACCCUAAG